Molecule: long non-coding RNA, 1698 nt
Organism: Acinonyx jubatus (cheetah)
Lineage: Eukaryota; Metazoa; Chordata; Mammalia; Carnivora; Felidae
Exons: 3
Source: RefSeq, a predicted model, not a curated record
GAGAGGGAGGAGGGGGAGGAGAGGAAGAAGCAGGGGGAGGGAGAGGAGGAGAGGGCCAGGGAGGAGGGGAGGGAGGAGGGAGAGAGAGAGGAAAGGAGAGAGGGAGGGAAAGAGACAGAAGGAGACCAAGAAGGGAGACGCACUGUGACUAGCAGAGUGGUGUUCUAGCUGCCCAGUGAAAGUUGCACAGUGGAGGUAAUCAUUCUUCAGAUUCUGCCGCUGCCACAGCAUAGAAAUCUGAAGGCAGGGAGCUGUGCCCGUCCUCCACCCACAGCUUCCAGCAAUUACUCAGAUGGCUGGUUUCCAGCGGCGAUCCUGGGCUUCUGUAAGGAGACAUCUACUACAGAUAAUUAGGAUUAAUAACUAAUAAUAAGAAGUUUCCAAAUGUCGAGAAUUCUUUUAUAAGAAUCUAUGUAUGUGGAAGGUGAGGAGAGAACUAGGUGGGAAAAGAGAAGAAUUUUUCUACUUUUCUUAAAAGACAGACAGAAAGAAAGAAAAAGAAAAAGAAAAAGAAAAAGAAAAAUAAAAAGAAAAAGAACCCAACCAAAAAACCCCAACCAUUUACUAAGCUGAUCCUGAAAAGAACCUUAUAGGAUACGCAUCAUUAUUGCCAUUUGACAACUAGCCUAACGUCACACAACUAGAGGUGAGUGGGCCCUUCUUCCUCUUCUGCUCCCAUUGUCCUCCUCUCCCCUUCCUCUCUUCCUCUUUUUCCCUGACAGCUUUAUUGUGCUAUAAACUUACAAACUUAACAGCUAGCCUUUGGAAAUAUACCAUGUCAUGACCUUAAAUAAAUGUGCUGGAUUGUGCAACCAGCACCACAGCCCAAGUUGAGGCCAUUUCCAGCAAGUUUUCUGAAGUCCAAGUGUGGUGGCCAUCACUCCUGCCCCCACCCCAGGCAAUCACUCAUCUACUUUCUGUCUCUAAAGAUUUGCCCUUUCCAGAGAUUUCAUACACAUGGAACUACACAAUAUGUAGCCUUCUGAUUGGACUUCUUCCGCUUAGAGCGUUUUUGUUAUGUUUAUUUAUUUUGAGAGAGAGAGUGUGUGAGCAGGGGAGGGACAGAGACAGAGGCAGAGAGAGAAUCCCAAGCACGCUCCUCACUGUCAGCGCAGAGCCUGAUGUGGAGCUUGAUCCCAUGAACCAUGAGAUAAUGACCUGAGCCAUUAUCAAGAGUCAGAUGCUCUGGGAAUGCAAGCUGGUGUAGCCACUCUGGGAAACAGUAUAGAGGUUCCUCAAAAAGUUAAAAAUAGAACUAUCCUAUGACCCAGAAAUUGCACUACUAGGCAUUUAUCCAAGGGAUACAGGUGUGCUGUUUCGAAGGGACACAUGCACCCCCAUGUUUAUAGAAGCACUAUCAACAAUAGCUAAAGUACGGAAAGAGCCCAAAUGUCCAUUGAUGGAUGAAUGGAUAAAGAAGAUGUGGUGUGUGUAUAUAUAUAAUGGAGUAUUACAAUAAAAAAGAAUGGAAUCUUGCCAUUUGCAACUAUGUGGAUGGCACUGGAAGGUAUUAUGCUAAGUGAAAUUAGUCACAGAAAGACAAAUAUAUGACUUCACUCAAAUGAGGGCUUUUAGAGACAAAACAGAUGAACAAGAGGGAAGGGAAACAAAAAUAAUAUAAAAACAUGGAGGGGGACAAAACAUAAGAGACUCAUAAAUAUGGAGAACAAACAGAGGGUUACGGGAGGGGUUGUGGGA